This 861-nucleotide ribosomal RNA is filed under the name Bacillus subtilis. Its description in RNAcentral is "bacterial SSU rRNA". It matches the Rfam family "Bacterial small subunit ribosomal RNA", at positions 1 to 850 of the family's 1533-position model. The record is from RNAcentral. Lineage: Bacteria; Bacillati; Bacillota; Bacilli; Caryophanales; Bacillaceae.
UAGAGUUUGAUCUGGCUCAGGACGAACGCUGGCGGCGUGCCUAAUACAUGCAAGUCGAGCGGACAGAUGGGAGCUUGCUCCCUGAUGUUAGCGGCGGACGGGUGAGUAACACGUGGGUAACCUGCCUGUAAGACUGGGAUAACUCCGGGAAACCGGGGCUAAUACCGGAUGGUUGUUUGAACCGCAUGGUUCAAACAUAAAAGGUGGCUUCGGCUACCACUUACAGAUGGACCCGCGGCGCAUUAGCUAGUUGGUGAGGUAACGGCUCACCAAGGCAACGAUGCGUAGCCGACCUGAGAGGGUGAUCGGCCACACUGGGACUGAGACACGGCCCAGACUCCUACGGGAGGCAGCAGUAGGGAAUCUUCCGCAAUGGACGAAAGUCUGACGGAGCAACGCCGCGUGAGUGAUGAAGGUUUUCGGAUCGUAAAGCUCUGUUGUUAGGGAAGAACAAGUACCGUUCGAAUAGGGCGGUACCUUGACGGUACCUAACCAGAAAGCCACGGCUAACUACGUGCCAGCAGCCGCGGUAAUACGUAGGUGGCAAGCGUUGUCCGGAAUUAUUGGGCGUAAAGGGCUCGCAGGCGGUUUCUUAAGUCUGAUGUGAAAGCCCCCGGCUCAACCGGGGAGGGUCAUUGGAAACUGGGGAACUUGAGUGCAGAAGAGGAGAGUGGAAUUCCACGUGUAGCGGUGAAAUGCGUAGAGAUGUGGAGGAACACCAGUGGCGAAGGCGACUCUCUGGUCUGUAACUGACGCUGAGGAGCGAAAGCGUGGGGAGCGAACAGGAUUAGAUACCCUGGUAGUCCACGCCGUAAACGAUGAGUGCUAAGUGUUAGGGGGUUUCCGCCCCUUAGUGCUGUA